CGCGGGGUGGAGCAGCCCGGUAGCUCGUCAGGCUCAUAACCUGAAGGUCGUAGGUUCAAAUCCUACCCCCGC
This 72-nucleotide transfer RNA is filed under the name Alphaproteobacteria bacterium MarineAlpha5_Bin5. RNAcentral describes it as "tRNA-Met". It matches the Rfam family "tRNA". From Rfam's summary of the family: Transfer RNA (tRNA) molecules are approximately 80 nucleotides in length. Their secondary structure includes four short double-helical elements and three loops (D, anti-codon, and T loops). The record is from RNAcentral. Lineage: Bacteria; Pseudomonadati; Pseudomonadota; Alphaproteobacteria.